CCUACNGGGUGCAGCAGUGGGGAAUAUUGCACAAUGGGCGCAAGCCUGAUGCAGCCAUGCCGCGUGUAUGAAGAAGGCCUUCGGGUUGUAAAGUACUUUCAGCGAGGANGAAGGCAUUAANNUUANUAACCUUAGUGAUUGACGUUACUCGCAGAAGAAGCACCGGCUAACUCCGUGCCAGCAGCCGCGGUAAUACGGAGGGUGCAAGCGUUAAUCGGAAUUACUGGGCGUAAAGCGCACGCAGGCGGUUUGUUAAGUCGGAUGUGAAAUCCCCGGGCUCAACCUGGGAACUGCAUUCGAAACUGGCAGGCUGGAGUCUUGUAGAGGGGGGUAGAAUUCCAGGUGUAGCGGUGAAAUGCGUAGAGAUCUGGAGGAAUACCGGUGGCGAAGGCGGCCCCCUGGACAAAGACUGACGCUCAGGUGCGAAAGCGUGGGGAGCAAACAGGAUUAGAUACCCCAGUAGUC
This 465-nucleotide ribosomal RNA is filed under the name uncultured bacterium. Its description in RNAcentral is "bacterial SSU rRNA". It matches the Rfam family "Bacterial small subunit ribosomal RNA", at positions 338 to 795 of the family's 1533-position model. The record is from RNAcentral.